This 505-nucleotide ribosomal RNA is filed under the name uncultured bacterium. RNAcentral describes it as "partial 16S ribosomal RNA". It matches the Rfam family "Bacterial small subunit ribosomal RNA", at positions 28 to 507 of the family's 1533-position model. The record is from RNAcentral.
GACGAACGCUGGCGGCGUGCCUAAUACAUGCAAGUGGGACGCAAGGAAACACACUGUGCUUGCACACCGUGUUUUCUUGAGUCGCGAACGGGUGAGUAACGCGUAGGUAACCUGCCUAUUAGCGGGGGAUAACUAUUGGAAACGAUAGCUAAUACCGCAUAAUAUUAAUUAUUGCAUGAUAAUUGAUUGAAAGAUGCAGGCGCAUCACUAGUAGAUGGACCUGCGUUGUAUUAGCUAGUUGGUAAGGUAAGAGCUUACCAAGGCGACGAUACAUAGCCGACCUGGGAGGGGGGUCGGCCACACUGGGACUGGGACACGGCCCAGGCUCCUACGGGAGGCAGCAGUAGGGAAUCUUCGGCAAUGGACGAAAGUCUGACCGAGCAACGCCGCGUGAGUGAAGAAGGUUUUCGGAUCGUAAAGCUCUGUUGUAAGUCAAGAACGUGUGUGAGAGUGGAAAGUUCACACAGUGACGGUAGCUUACCAGAAAGGGACGGCUAACUACGUG